This 450-nucleotide ribosomal RNA is filed under the name uncultured bacterium. Its description in RNAcentral is "partial 16S ribosomal RNA". It matches the Rfam family "Bacterial small subunit ribosomal RNA", at positions 29 to 523 of the family's 1533-position model. The record is from RNAcentral.
AGCGAACAUUGGCGGUAGGCUUAACACAUGCAAGUCGAGCGAGGCGUAAUAGUCGAGCGGCGAACGGGUGCGUAAUACAUGGGAAUCUACCUUGAAGUGGGGGAUAACGUCCAGAAAUGGACGCUAAUACCGCAUAAUCCACAUUGGGAAAGCGUUGCAGCGCUUUAAGAUGAGCCCAUGGCUGAUUAGCUAGUUGGUGAGGUAAUGGCUCACCAAGGCGACGAUCAGUAGCUGGUCUGAGAGGAUGAUCAGCCACACUGGAACUGAGACACGGUCCAGACUCCUACGGGAGGCAGCAGUGGGGAAUCUUGCGCAAUGGGGGCAACCCUGACGCAGCCAUACCGCGUGAGUGAUGAAGGUCUUCGGAUUGUAAAGCUCUUUCGGCGGGGACGACGAUGACGGUACCCGCAAAAGAAGUCACGGCUAACUUCGUGCCAGCAGCCGCGGUAA